Molecule: long non-coding RNA, 1416 nt
Organism: Raphanus sativus (radish)
Lineage: Eukaryota; Viridiplantae; Streptophyta; Magnoliopsida; Brassicales; Brassicaceae
Exons: 2
Source: RefSeq, a predicted model, not a curated record
AUUUCUCAAUCAAUAAAAACUAGUUUUAUUUAAUUUUGAUAUAAACAUAAUUGUUAAUUGGUAAAAUGAAUUUUGUUAAUCAAAAUUAUUGUAUUGGAUAAAAUUUGAGUAUAUGUUGAAUAAUGAGAUGGAAGAAAGAGGAGAUGCUGUGAAAUGUUCAAAGUUAAAAAAGGCGUUGAAUCCUCUUCGAAUUCGCCCUAGUUCCACUUUCCUCUCUUGCCCGAAUGUCGAGGUGCCUACAAUGUUAACGAUUAUCGAUGCCGGCAGCGUUUUAGCUCGCCGGCUAACCGACGCUCCUCUCCGCUCCUGACUCACAUCUACCUCUUCAUGUUUUCUGGUUCGUUGUCCAUUCCUACUCUGGUUCAAGUUUCUUCUCCGCUGAAAUACUUGGCCUCAAGCUUGAAGCCUUUCACUUGCGCUGUCGUUCGCCUGUCUUGGACCUCCAUAAUCCGGCUUCGAUCUGCACAUCUGCUCGCCAGUUCCUCUACCGUGGCUCCUCACCUUCUUUUCUCUCUCAUCUACGGAUUUUCUCUCCGCCGGAACAAUCAGAUCCAUAACAAGGAGCCGUUCUGUCGUCGCGUCUUAACAAGUCUCCACUGGCUUGAGACCCAGUGCCGACACAUCUCAUGUUGCUCACCUACUGUACGGAAUCGAGAUUCGACACAUCUACACGGCCUGUAUGUGAGCAUACCAGAGCUGUUAGACUCUCCUCCGCAGUUUCCCCUCCAUCUCCUCUAUAUUGUCGCUCUCGUCUUUUGAUUCGAGCCACUCCCAGAUGAAGAGUCGUCACUCCGAUUUAUCAAAAUUUAUAUUCAUCUGAAUAGAGCCCACCACCAAAACUUCUCCUUUAUUCUGUCUCCUUUACCAUAUAAAGAAACUUCUAUAGUGAGACUGCGCGAGAAACCACCACCGUUUGCUUUGAUGUCGUGACGUUCUUCAUUCUCCCGAUGGAGAUCGCUUCCACUAUCUCAGGCAAACAUGUAGUGUCCGGUCCGCAACUUCUCUCGUCUCUUGUCCAAUCCCUCAUCCUCAGUCCUGUCCCAGCCAUUUCUAUUCCGGCAGCCUUUAUAUCUCACUGCAACAUCACCUAAACUCAGCAUCUCUGGACUCUAUCAGCUGUUAUUAUCUAGAGGCUGUACCGUCGACGACUUUGUGUGUAGUCCUACUCCGGCAGCCUCUCUGCACCUCACUGCAACGUCGAAAAACCAGACAUCUUCAAAGACUGUUUUUAACUGCUCUUACAAUCCAUUGGUUGGGUUUUUCAAUGUUGAUUUCGACAUCUGUGUGUUCUUUCGAACGUGUAUUAUAGGACUACAAGUGAAGAUCUUCGACAGAUUUAUUCUCUCCUUAGCCAUAUCUAUCAUUUGUCAUGUUUUAGUUAUUCUCGCUAUUCAGUUUACCGUCGAGUUGUUCUCA